This 1006-nucleotide ribosomal RNA is filed under the name Vibrio sp. Its description in RNAcentral is "bacterial SSU rRNA". It matches the Rfam family "Bacterial small subunit ribosomal RNA", at positions 86 to 1088 of the family's 1533-position model. The record is from RNAcentral. Lineage: Bacteria; Pseudomonadati; Pseudomonadota; Gammaproteobacteria; Vibrionales; Vibrionaceae.
CGGCGUCGAGCGGCGGACGGGUGAGUAAUGCCUAGGAAAUUGCCCUGAUGUGGGGGAUAACCAUUGGAAACGAUGGCUAAUACCGCAUAAUACCUACGGGUCAAAGAGGGGGACCUUCGGGCCUCUCGCGUCAGGAUAUGCCUAGGUGGGAUUAGCUAGUUGGUGAGGUAAUGGCUCACCAAGGCGACGAUCCCUAGCUGGUCUGAGAGGAUGAUCAGCCACACUGGAACUGAGACACGGUCCAGACUCCUACGGGAGGCAGCAGUGGGGAAUAUUGCACAAUGGGCGCAAGCCUGAUGCAGCCAUGCCGCGUGUGUGAAGAAGGCCUUCGGGUUGUAAAGCACUUUCAGUCGUGAGGAAGGUAGUGUAGUUAAUAGCUGCAUUAUUUGACGUUAGCGACAGAAGAAGCACCGGCUAACUCCGUGCCAGCAGCCGCGGUAAUACGGAGGGUGCGAGCGUUAAUCGGAAUUACUGGGCGUAAAGCGCAUGCAGGUGGUUUGUUAAGUCAGAUGUGAAAGCCCGGGGCUCAACCUCGGAAUAGCAUUUGAAACUGGCAGACUAGAGUACUGUAGAGGGGGGUAGAAUUUCAGGUGUAGCGGUGAAAUGCGUAGAGAUCUGAAGGAAUACCGGUGGCGAAGGCGGCCCCCUGGACAGAUACUGACACUCAGAUGCGAAAGCGUGGGGAGCAAACAGGAUUAGAUACCCUGGUAGUCCACGCCGUAAACGAUGUCUACUUGGAGGUUGUGGCCUUGAGCCGUGGCUUUCGGAGCUAACGCGUUAAGUAGACCGCCUGGGGAGUACGGUCGCAAGAUUAAAACUCAAAUGAAUUGACGGGGGCCCGCACAAGCGGUGGAGCAUGUGGUUUAAUUCGAUGCAACGCGAAGAACCUUACCUACUCUUGACAUCCAGAGAACUUUCCAGAGAUGGAUUGGUGCCUUCGGGAACUCUGAGACAGGUGCUGCAUGGCUGUCGUCAGCUCGUGUUGUGAAAUGUUGGGUUAAGUCCC